CCUGAGAAACCCGAAAGAUCGAAUGGGGAGAUUCAUCGUCAGCGAUAACGGCGCGCAUUCGGCACGCGAUACCGGGGGGCCUCGGUCCCGCGGUACGCGUCCGGGUGUAUUUUAAUGCCGGGUAUCGUCGGCGUGCACUUCUCCCCUAGUAGGACGUCGCGACCCGUUGGGUGUCGGUCUACGGCCCGGGAUGGAGCCUGUUCUCGUGCUGCGCCCUCGUGGCGUAUUCGCGGUUCAGACGCCCGGUCGCCCGGCCGGCUACCCGGCGGUAUUCGCACGGUAUCUGGCCGCAACCAUUUGAACUGCGUCCAGCCCGUCGCAAGCGAGGCAAGCGUCCCGGAUGUACGGAUCCAAUGCCGUCGCCGGGCCUUGCCAGCUGUUGGCUGACGGUGCCCUCGGA
RNAcentral lists this ribosomal RNA (400 nucleotides) under Brachycyrtus sp. RNAcentral's name for it is "eukaryotic LSU rRNA". The record is from RNAcentral. Lineage: Eukaryota; Metazoa; Arthropoda; Insecta; Hymenoptera; Ichneumonidae.